This 279-nucleotide ribosomal RNA is filed under the name uncultured bacterium. RNAcentral's name for it is "partial 16S ribosomal RNA". It matches the Rfam family "Bacterial small subunit ribosomal RNA", at positions 506 to 784 of the family's 1533-position model. The record is from RNAcentral.
UGCCAGCAGCCGCGGUAAUACGAGGGGGGCUAGCGUUGUUCGGAAUCACUGGGCGUAAAGCGCACGUAGGCGGAUCUGUUAGUCAGGGGUGAAAGCCCGGGGCUCAACCCCGGAACUGCCCCUGAUACUGCAGAUCUCGAGUCCGGAAGAGGUGAGUGGAAUUCCUAGUGUAGAGGUGAAAUUCGUAGAUAUUCGGAGGAACACCAGUGGCGAAGGCGGCUCACUGGCUCGAUACUGACGCUGAGGUGCGAAAGCGUGGGGAGCAAACAGGAUUAGAUA